AUUGAACGCUGGCGGCAUGCCUUACACAUGCAAGUCGAACGGUAACAGGUCUUCGGAUGCUGACGAGUGGCGAACGGGUGAGUAAUACAUCGGAACGUGCCUAGUAGUGGGGGAUAACUACUUGAAAGAGUGGCUAAUACCGCAUGAGAUCUACGGAUGAAAGCAGGGGAUCGCAAGACCUUGUGCUACUAGAGCGGCCGAUGGCAGAUUAGGUAGUUGGUGGGAUAAAAGCUUACCAAGCCGACGAUCUGUAGCUGGUCUGAGAGGACGAUCAGCCACACUGAGACUGAGACACGGCCCAGACUCCUACGGGAGGCAGCAGUGGGGAAUUUUGGACAAUGGGCGAAAGCCUGAUCCAGCAAUGCCGCGUGCAGGAUGAAGGCCUUCGGGUUGUAAACUGCUUUUGUACGGAACGAAAAGCCCCGGGUUAAUACCCUGGGGUCAUGACGGUACCGUAAGAAUAAGCACCGGCUAACUACGUGCCAGCCGCCGCGGUAA
RNAcentral lists this ribosomal RNA (498 nucleotides) under uncultured bacterium. RNAcentral describes it as "partial 16S ribosomal RNA". It matches the Rfam family "Bacterial small subunit ribosomal RNA", at positions 30 to 523 of the family's 1533-position model. The record is from RNAcentral.